Molecule: long non-coding RNA, 259 nt
Filed under: Homo sapiens (human)
Lineage: Eukaryota; Metazoa; Chordata; Mammalia; Primates; Hominidae
Description: novel transcript
Source: RNAcentral
UGGAGGUAGUAGAGCUGGUGGUAGUGAUGGAGGUGAUGGAGGUGGCUGUGGUGGUGGUGGUGAUAGUGAUGGAGGUGAUGUUGGUAAUGAUGGUAUUGGUGGUGAUGAUGGAGGUGAUGGUGGAGGUAGAUAAUGGAGGUGGUAAUUGUGAUGGUGGUGGCGAUGGAGGUGGUAGUGGUGGUGAUGAUAAUGAUGGUAGCCAUGGAGGUGAUGGUGGUGGUAGAGAUGGUGGAGGUGGUGAUGGUGUUGGGAGUUUAUC